RNAcentral lists this ribosomal RNA (592 nucleotides) under Crenosoma striatum. RNAcentral's name for it is "eukaryotic LSU rRNA". It matches the Rfam family "Eukaryotic large subunit ribosomal RNA", at positions 390 to 915 of the family's 3401-position model. Lineage: Eukaryota; Metazoa; Nematoda; Chromadorea; Rhabditida; Crenosomatidae. The record is from RNAcentral.
CAAGAGAACGUGAAAUCGUUGAAGUGGAACCGGAGAGAGUUGACGUAGUAUGGUGGAUAAGUAUUGCAAGAAUCGCUUCAAACAAUGAAUGUGAUCGAGUAAUAUGUACGUCACCAAAGACUGCGCUGACAGCAUCGACUACACGCUCUGAACUGUGUUGACAUGUUGCCUAUUCUAGUAUAUAGAAUGGUGUCUUGUGUUACGUGGUGAAGUUUGUUGUUAUGUUGUUGAUGUUGAUAAUUAUGAUUAUACACCAAGUAUAAUUAUGUCAGUGUAAAAGUCAACCACCUCUCCGACCCGUCUUGAAACACGGACCGAGGAGUGUAACUUGUACGCGAGUCAUUGGGUGGAAAAACCUUAAGGCGAAACGAAAGUGAAGGCACGGUUAACCGGCUGACAUGGGAAACGUGCGGUAUUGUUAGCGAGACGUUACACCAUGGCCCUGUCUUGUCUGCAUGCAGAUGGGCAGCGGUAGAGCGUACAGGUUGCGACCCGAAAGAUGGUGAACUAUGCCUGAGCAGGACGAAGUCAGAGGAAACUCUGGUGGAAGUCCGUAUCGGUUCUGACGUGCAAAUCGAUCGAUAGACUUGGG